Molecule: long non-coding RNA, 530 nt
Filed under: Homo sapiens (human)
Lineage: Eukaryota; Metazoa; Chordata; Mammalia; Primates; Hominidae
Description: HSALNT0213330
Source: RNAcentral
GAACCCGGUGAACCGCCUGAGUGGGACAGAGCCAGCGAUGACAGCCAGGCCAAGGCAAGCUGGAACAUUCUUGUGCAGUGACAGCUUGAGCCAUCGCAGCAGAGGCAGGCCAUCCAACUCCGGCCCCCAGCAGAACAGGUGUCUGCAGAGCAGGUUUUGGGCAAACUUCAAAGAACUUCACAAUUUUACAGUUUCUGAUUUACAAUCACAUAUAGUUGUGGGUAAUUCUACCUAGAAUCAGCAAAUUAGAAAGCCUGAAGCAUCAAUGGAUGGAGAAAGUGCUUGUCUUCUAUCCCUAGGCAUCAGAGGUCUGGAAGAGAGCAUGCAUCUUCCCAAGGAAAGAAUAAGCAACAUGUACCACGGAUGAAGCAAGGGAGGCUGAAUGCUGAGCAAUACACAUAGAGAGAGACAUGUCUCCUGAAAGUUGUCUAUGAAAGACCGAAAGAAAGAGAAGGAAGGGCAUUUCCUCACUGGAUCAGAAGCUCCUGAAGGGCAAGGACUGUCUCAUUCAUCACUAACUCCAGCAUCUA